This 274-nucleotide ribosomal RNA is filed under the name uncultured bacterium. Its description in RNAcentral is "partial 16S ribosomal RNA". It matches the Rfam family "Bacterial small subunit ribosomal RNA", at positions 523 to 796 of the family's 1533-position model. The record is from RNAcentral.
AUACGGAGGGGGCUAGCGUUGUUCGGAAUUACUGGGCGUAAAGGGCGCGUAGGCGGAUUGUCAAGUCAGAGGUGAAAGCCCUGGGCUCAACCCGGGAACUGCCUUUGAAACUAACGGUCUAGAGUCCGAGAGAGGAUGGCGGAAUUCCCAGUGUAGAGGUGAAAUUCGUAGAUAUUGGGAAGAACACCAGUGGCGAAGGCGGCCAUCUGGCUCGGUACUGACGCUGAGGCGCGAAAGCGUGGGGAGCAAACAGGAUUAGAAACCCGGGUAGUCC